CCCAAGGGGUUCGACCGCAAUGGCCCCUCGAGGCCGCAGCCGAACGAUUGCGUCCAUGGUUCCCAUCCCGGGGAGGACGCCUAUG
Molecule: non-coding RNA, 85 nt
Filed under: unclassified sequences
Description: chrB RNA
Rfam family: chrB-a RNA
Source: RNAcentral